RNAcentral lists this ribosomal RNA (463 nucleotides) under uncultured bacterium. Its description in RNAcentral is "partial 16S ribosomal RNA". It matches the Rfam family "Bacterial small subunit ribosomal RNA", at positions 28 to 507 of the family's 1533-position model. The record is from RNAcentral.
GAUGAACGCUGACAGAAUGCUUAACACAUGCAAGUCGAUGGGGAAGUGGUGCUUGCACCAUGGCAACCAUGGCGGACGGGUGAGUAACGCGUAAGGGACUUACCUGCAGGACUGGGAUAACAGGGGGAAACUCCUGACAAGACCGGAUAAUGUCAUGGAGCUGCAUGGCUUUAUGAUGAAAGGAGACGCCUGCGGAGAGCCUUGCGUCCUAUUAGCUAGUUGGUGAGGUAAUGGCUCACCAAGGCGAAGAUAGGUAGCCGGCCUGAGAGGGUGGACGGCCACAAGGGGACUGAGAUACGGCCCUUACUCCUACGGGAGGCAGCAGUGGGGAAUAUUGGACAAUGGGGGCAACCCUGAUCCAGCAAUUCUGUGUGCACGAAGAAGGUUUUCGGAGUGUAAAGCGCUUUCAGCAGGGAAGAAGUAAGUGACGGUACCUGCAGAAGAAGCGACGGCUAAAUACGUG